Molecule: ribosomal RNA, 497 nt
Filed under: uncultured bacterium
Lineage: Bacteria
Description: partial 16S ribosomal RNA
Rfam family: Bacterial small subunit ribosomal RNA
Source: RNAcentral
GAUGAACGCUGGCGGCGUGCCUAAUACAUGCAAGUCGAACGAACGGACGAGAAGCUUGCUUCUCUGAUGUUAGCGGCGGACGGGUGAGUAACACGUGAAUAACCUACCUAUAAGACUGGGCUAAAUUCGGGAAGCCGUAGCUAAUACCGGAUAAUAUUUUGAACCGCAUGGUUCAAAAGUGAAAGACGGUCUUGCUGUCGCUUAUAGAUGGAUCCGCGCUGCAGUAGCUAGUUGGUAAGGUAACGGCUUACCAAGGCAACGAUGCAUAGCCGACCUGAGAGCGGGUGCGGCCACUCUGGAAGUGAGACACGGUCCAGACUCCGACGGGAGGCAGCAGUAGGGAAUCGUCCGCAAUGGGCGAAAGCCUGACGGAGCAACGCCGCGUGAGUGAUGAAGGUCUUCGGAUCGUAAAACUCUGUUAUUAGGGAAGAACAUAUGUGUAAGUAACUGUGCACAUCUUGACGGUACCUAAUCAGAAAGCCACGGCUAACUACGUG